GGACGAACGCUGGCGGCGCGCUUAACACAUGCAAGUCGAGCGAUGAAACCUUAACAGAACCCUUCGGGGCGAAGAUAAGGUGGAUUAGCGGCGGACGGGUGAGUAACACGUGAGUAACCUGCCUUAGACAUAGGGAUAGCCUCGGGAAACCGGGAUUAAUACCAAAUGAAAUCACAUAUGCACAUGCAUAAAUGAUCAAAGCUCCGGCGGUCUAAGAUGGACUCGCGUCCCAUUAGCUAGUUGGUGAGGUAACGGCCCACCAAGGCGACGAUGGGUAGCCGGCCUGAGAGGGUGAACGGCCACAUUGGAACUGAGAAACGGUCCAAACUCCUACGGGAGGCAGCAGUGGGGAAUAUUGCACAAUGGAGGGAACUCUGAUGCAGCGACGCCGCGUGAACGAAGAAGGCUUUCGAGUCGUAAAGUUCUUUUAUAUGGGAAGAUAAUGACGGUACCAUAAGAAAAAGCCCCGGCUAACUACGU
RNAcentral lists this ribosomal RNA (480 nucleotides) under Peptoniphilus sp. 'ARUP UnID 526'. RNAcentral's name for it is "bacterial SSU rRNA". It matches the Rfam family "Bacterial small subunit ribosomal RNA", at positions 27 to 506 of the family's 1533-position model. Lineage: Bacteria; Bacillati; Bacillota; Tissierellia; Tissierellales; Peptoniphilaceae. The record is from RNAcentral.